UUUCGUACACAAUCAGAACUCAAUAUUACCAAAAUAAUCAUGAACAGCUCAAAAAUACCAAAAUUAUAUGAAAGUCUAAGAUUUCAAAUUAAUCUAAACACAGUCACAUUUAACAACAACACUUCAUGAAUCACGAAUCAGUGCUCAUUUAGGGUCUCAAAAUCAUACGAAGCAUGCAUACAGACAUAAACAUCAAAUUAAAAAUAAGAACGAAACUAGUCCCAAUUUAGGGAAUCCAGAUAAGCAAAUAAGCAAUGCAAUCGAGUCAAAAUUCAGAGGAAACCAUCAUUGUCAUUGAUUGAGAAUAUUCUUAAGAAAAAGAUUAACACGAGAAUUAAACGAGAAAAAAAUCCGAGAAGGAUUCCGUAGAUCCGUCGUGUAUUUGAGAAUUUUUGACGACAUUUGUUCGGAAAUGGCAGUGACGAUUGGCAUCGAAUGUUGUGAUAGUUAUUUCGUUGGGGGCAGCGGCUGUUUCGAUGGAGAGGCGGGGGUGGUGACUGGCGAUGAUUCUUGGUGGAGUCGCCGCUGGAGGAGGAGAGAGAAGGCGGCGCCGGCGCUGGUUCGGGGAGAGGCGGCAGCGGUUUUUGACGGCUGGUGGUCGCUUUUGUCGGUGAUGGACUUGCCGAUGACGGAUUUAUCCCACGAUGAGAGAUGGAUAACGAAGGAGGGGUGGCGUCGGAGAUGGUGGCCUCUCCGGUGAGAGGCCACGGGUUAGCCUGGGUUGGUUCGCCGCUGUUGAUUGCGGUAGCGGCGGCGCGACUGCGGAGAGGAAAAAGGAGGCUGGUUUAGCGUGGUUUGGUGGUUGUGAGGAGACGAAGAUGACGGCGAAUGUGAUGUCGGAAGGGGAAGAGCAUCCCGCCGACGGCAGCACUCAUCCGGAGCGGCGGCGGUGGCUGAUCUUUUUAGAGAGAGAGAAGAGAGAAAGGGAGAGAGAGAAAGGGAGAUGGAGGCUUAUUGUGAAAAAUUGAGUUUAAGGUUUUGUUAUGAUUUAAAAGAAAAGGAGUUGGAAAUUUAAUCUCUGGAUCAAUUUUUAAAAAUUUGAUCUCAAUUAUUGGAUCGAUUUUAAUUAAUGAAUGAGAUUAAAAUUAUUUAAAGAGUGUUAAAAGUCAAAAUUAACAUCAAAUUGAUUAAAAUUGACAUUAGUUGAAUACAAACUGGC
Molecule: long non-coding RNA, 1159 nt
Filed under: Capsicum annuum
Lineage: Eukaryota; Viridiplantae; Streptophyta; Magnoliopsida; Solanales; Solanaceae
Description: long non-coding RNA (CANN_LNC007750)
Source: RNAcentral